GCCUCUUGCCAUCAGAUGUGCCCAGAUGGGAUUAGCUUGUUGGUGAGGUAACGGCUCACCAAGGCGACGAUCCCUAGCUGGUCUGAGAGGAUGACCAGCCACACUGGAACUGAGACACGGUCCAGACUCCUACGGGAGGCAGCAGUGGGGAAUAUUGCACAAUGGGCGCAAGCCUGAUGCAGCCAUGCCGCGUGUAUGAAGAAGGCCUUCGGGUUGUAAAGUACUUUCAGCGGGGAGGAAGGUGUUGUGGUUAAUAACCGCAGCAAUUGACGUUACCCGCAGAAGAAGCACCGGCUAACUCCGUGCCAGCAGCCGCGGUAAUACGGAGGGUGCAAGCGUUAAUCGGAAUUACUGGGCGUAAAGCGCACGCAGGCGGUCUGUCAAGUCGGAUGUGAAAUCCCCGGGCUCAACCUGGGAACUGCAUUCGAAACUGGCAGGCUUGAGUCUUGUAGAGGGGGGUAGAAUUCC
This 468-nucleotide ribosomal RNA is filed under the name Salmonella enterica subsp. enterica serovar Kentucky. RNAcentral describes it as "bacterial SSU rRNA". It matches the Rfam family "Bacterial small subunit ribosomal RNA", at positions 210 to 670 of the family's 1533-position model. The record is from RNAcentral. Lineage: Bacteria; Pseudomonadati; Pseudomonadota; Gammaproteobacteria; Enterobacterales; Enterobacteriaceae.